This 631-nucleotide ribosomal RNA is filed under the name Serratia sp. I26. RNAcentral's name for it is "bacterial SSU rRNA". It matches the Rfam family "Bacterial small subunit ribosomal RNA", at positions 822 to 1454 of the family's 1533-position model. The record is from RNAcentral. Lineage: Bacteria; Pseudomonadati; Pseudomonadota; Gammaproteobacteria; Enterobacterales; Yersiniaceae.
GGUUGUGCCCUUGAGGCGUGGCUUCCGGNAGCUAACGCGUAAAUCGACCGCCUGGGAGUACGGCCGCAAGGUNAAAACUCAAAUGAAUUGACGGGGCCCCGCACAAGCGGUGGAGCAUGUGGUUUAAUUCGAUGCAACGCGAAGAACCUUACCUACUCUUGACAUCCAGAGAACUUUCCAGAGAUGGAUUGGUGCCUUCGGGAACUCUGAGACAGGUGCUGCAUGGCUGUCGUCAGCUCGUGUUGUGAAAUGUUGGGUUAAGUCCCGCAACGAGCGCAACCCUUAUCCUUUGUUGCCAGCGGUUCGGCCGGGAACUCAAAGGAGACUGCCAGUGAUAAACUGGAGGAAGGUGGGGAUGACGUCAAGUCAUCAUGGCCCUUACGAGUAGGGCUACACACGUGCUACAAUGGCAUAUACAAAGAGAAGCGACCUCGCGAGAGCAAGCGGACCUCAUAAAGUAUGUCGUAGUCCGGAUUGGAGUCUGCAACUCGACUCCAUGAAGUCGGAAUCGCUAGUAAUCGUAGAUCAGAAUGCUACGGUGAAUACGUUCCCGGGCCUUGUACACACCGCCCGUCACACCAUGGGAGUGGGUUGCAAAAGAAGUAGGUAGCUUAACCUUCGGGAGGGCGCU